AUAAAUUCUUCAAGUAAAGUUGCUAAUUCAAGGGUGCUAUGUAACGUGGCGUUGUUGUUUCGGACAAUAGUUCGCUCGUUUGCUCUAACGACCAACUUGGGUCAAGUUAAGGAGUGAAGAAGAAAGAUCUUGGAGUUGCCGAGGGUUGAGGCUUGAUUUGUCUUGCGAUCGGAAGAGGUACUGACGCCCAGUUUGAGGAUCCACCUGCCUAGGCCAUCUAUUCUGCUUUCUAGGAGUGCUCCUUCUUCCGGAACUCAUAUAUUUUGGUAUACAUUUUCUUCUGAUGCAUAUGUAUAUUAUUAUUCAGG
Long non-coding RNA from Lycium ferocissimum, 308 nucleotides. RefSeq lists it as uncharacterized. NCBI's taxonomy places the organism in Eukaryota, Viridiplantae, Streptophyta, Magnoliopsida, Solanales, Solanaceae. The record is from RefSeq and is a predicted model, not a curated record. The transcript is spliced from 3 exons.